GCUGGCGUAGCUUAAUUAAAGCAU
RNAcentral lists this transfer RNA (24 nucleotides) under Salvelinus sp. 4 AK-2021. RNAcentral's name for it is "partial tRNA-Phe". Lineage: Eukaryota; Metazoa; Chordata; Actinopteri; Salmoniformes; Salmonidae. The record is from RNAcentral.